Molecule: ribosomal RNA, 253 nt
Filed under: uncultured bacterium
Lineage: Bacteria
Description: partial 16S ribosomal RNA
Rfam family: Bacterial small subunit ribosomal RNA
Source: RNAcentral
UACGUAGGGUGCGAGCGUUAAUCGGAAUUACUGGGCGUAAAGUGUGCGCAGGCGGCAGAGCAAGUCGAGUGUGAAAUCCCCGGGCUUAACCUGGGAACUGCAUUGGUGACUGCAUUGCUGGAGUAUGGCAGAGGGGGGUGGAAUUCCACGUGUAGCAGUGAAAUGCGUAGAGAUGUGGAGGAACACCGAUGGCGAAGGCAGCCCCCUGGGCCAAUACUGACGCUCAUGCACGAAAGCGUGGGGAGCAAACAGG